UCCGGUUUGUCACCGGCAGUCCCAUUAGAGUGCCCAACUGAAUGUGGCAACUAAUGGCAAGGGUUGCGCUCGUUGCGGGACUUAACCCAACAUCUCACGACACGAGCUGACGACGGCCAUGCAGCACCUGUGUUCAAGUUCUCUUUUGAGCACUCUCACAUCUCUGCAAGAUUCUUGACAUGUCAAGGGUAGGUAAGGUUUUUCGCGUUGCAUCGAAUUAAACCACAUCAUCCACCGCUUGUGCGGGUCCCCGUCAAUUCCUUUGAGUUUUAAUCUUGCGACCGUACUCCCCAGGCGGUCUACUUCACGCGUUAGCUGCGUUACCAAGUCAAUUAAGGCCCGACAACUAGUAGACAUCGUUUAGGGCGUGGACUAC
Molecule: unclassified non-coding RNA, 376 nt
Filed under: uncultured Gammaproteobacteria bacterium
Lineage: Bacteria; Pseudomonadati; Pseudomonadota; Gammaproteobacteria
Description: contains 16S-23S intergenic spacer region
Source: RNAcentral